RNAcentral lists this small nuclear RNA (277 nucleotides) under Heterocephalus glaber (naked mole-rat). Its description in RNAcentral is "7SK RNA". It matches the Rfam family "7SK RNA". Rfam says of the family: 7SK was discovered as an abundant small nuclear RNA in the mid-70s but a possible function has only recently been suggested. Two independent studies have found that 7SK RNA binds the CDK9/cyclin T complex (known as elongation factor P-TEFb). P-TEFb activates transcription by phosphorylating the C-terminal domain of RNA polymerase II. Lineage: Eukaryota; Metazoa; Chordata; Mammalia; Rodentia; Bathyergidae. The record is from Rfam by way of RNAcentral.
GGAUGUGAGGGCAGUCUGGCUAUGACAUUUGUCACCUCACUGAUCAUGAAGGAUAAUUAGGCUGAUCUGACUGGCUACAGGGAUGUGGCCUAUCUUCCUCACUGCUCCACGUGUGAACCCCCUGAAACUGCACACUGGUUUGAAGAUGAUGAACAGCCCUGAUAGAGGAGGACCAUUUCCUUGGUCAAGGGUAUAUAAGUAGCACUUCUCUCCUAAAGCCUCCAAACAAAAAAGCUGGGCAAGAUGGCUCAUGACUGUAAUCUCAGCACUUUGGAAG